GCCCCGGUAGCCCAAUCAGGCAGGAGGCAGCGCAUUCAAGACGCGCACAGUGCGGGUUCGAGUCCCGCUCGGGGCA
Molecule: transfer RNA, 76 nt
Filed under: Micromonospora sp. C51
Lineage: Bacteria; Bacillati; Actinomycetota; Actinomycetes; Micromonosporales; Micromonosporaceae
Description: tRNA-Leu
Rfam family: tRNA
About the family: Transfer RNA (tRNA) molecules are approximately 80 nucleotides in length.
Source: RNAcentral